Molecule: ribosomal RNA, 119 nt
Filed under: Peromyscus maniculatus bairdii (prairie deer mouse)
Lineage: Eukaryota; Metazoa; Chordata; Mammalia; Rodentia; Cricetidae
Source: RNAcentral
AUAUAAGUGAAUACUGCCCUGAACAUGCCAGAUCUAGUCUGAUCUCAGAUGCUAAACAGUGUUGGUCCUUGUUAGUAAUUGGAUGGGAGACAUUUUGAUUUUUAGGAAUCAUAAAUGUA